CACUAUAUCUGUCAGGAAAGGGUUUCCCCGUGUGACUGUAGCCCAGGCAGCGUCGAUAAAGCUUACAAAGGAGAGUGGUGGAAGAUGAGGAGCCAGGAAUUAAAUUCUCUGGAAGCAUGUGAGAAGCCAUGAGAGGACUGCACCGUCUUUGUGCUCCUUCUACACACUUUGUGGGCACGUCUUGAGAGCGCAAGGCGAGUUAAGAUGCAGCUGUUCGAGGGAGUCUCCGUCAGCUGAGCUGUUUGAAGAAGAAUAAAGGGCACGCCCCAAACGGAAGCGCCUUCAGGACACUUCCCAGCGUCAACUUGAAAAAAAACGCGCAAGGGACGACCAAGCACGGAGUGCCACUUUCCUGAUCUUCACCCUGAAUUCCUUUCAGGAUGCACUGUAGGUCAGCGACUGCAGUGGCCAGUGAUUCAGUCCUUGCAGAAUUGGAUGGUGGGCAACGUCCUUCAUUUUACACCAGGCUCCUAUGCCAGCUGCUGCUGAAGGGCUAAAGAAGAAAAAUCGCACAAUCAUAUUAAUAGAUGCAGGAAAAACAUUUGACAAAAUCCGACACCCAUUCAUGAUGACAACUCUAAGGAAACUAGGAAUGGGGGGAAAGUUCUCAACUUGAUAAAGAACAUCUACAACAAAUCUACAGCUAACAAUGUACUUAAUGAUAAGAAAGUAUUUAGAAGCUUUCCUACUAAAAUCAGGCACAAGGCAAGGCUAUCCCCCCUCACCACUCCCUCUCAGUAUCAUACUGGAAGUCCUAGCUAACACAGUAAGACAAGAAUAGAAAAUAAAAGAUACACUGAUUGGCAAGGAAGAAAUAAAGCUGUCUUUGUUCACAGAUGACAUGACUGUCUAAGAAUCCACAAAAAACUUGUGGAACUAAUAAACGACUAUAGCAAGGUUGAAGGAUACAAGGUGGUAUACAAAAGUCAGUUGCUUUCCUAUAUACCAGCAAUGAACAAGUGGAACUUGAAAUUAAAAACAAUACAAUUUACAUUAGCAUGGGAAAAAUGAAAUACUUAGAUAUAAAUUUAACAAAAUAUGUACCAGAUCUAUGAAGAAAAACUGCAAAACUGAUGAAAGAAACCAAACAAGAACAAAAUAAAUGGAGAGAUAGUCCAGAUCAUGGAUAGGAAGACUUAUUUAUUUAUUUGGAUGUGCCGGGUCUUUAGUAGCUUCACACAGGAUCUUUGUUGUGGUGUGCAGGAUCUAGUUCCCUAACCAGGGAUUGAACCUAGGCCCCCUGCGUUGGGAGCACGGACUGCCAGGGAAGUCCCUGGUUAGGAAGACUUGAUAUUGUCAAGAUGUCAUUUCUCCCCAUCUUGAUCUGUAGAUUCAACCCAAUUCCAAUCAAAAUCCCAGCAAGAUAUUUUUGUGGUUAUUGACAAACUGACUCUAAAGUUUGUACGGAGAGGCAAAAGACCCAGAUUAGUCAACUCAAUAUUGAAGGAAAAGAGGAAAGUUGGAGGACUGCCACCCCCCAACCUCAAGACUUACUAUAAAGCUAUAAUAAUCAAGACAGUGUGGUAUUGGCAAAAGAAUAGACACAUCAGUGAAACAGAAUAGAGAGCCCAGGCAUAGACCCACAUAAAUAAAGUCAAUGAUCUUUGACAACAUAGCAAAGAAAAUACAAUGGAGAAAAUACAGUCUUUUCAAAAAUGGUACUGUAACAACCGGACAUUCACAUGCAGAAAAAUGAAUCUAGACACAGACCUCACAAAAAUUAAGUCAUAAUGGAUCAUAGACCUGAAUGUAAAAUGCAAAACUAUAAAACUCCUAGAAGAUAACAUAGGAGAAAAUCUAGAUGACCUUUGGUAUGGUGAUGACUCUUAAAAUACAAUACCAAAGGCAUGAUCCAUAAAAGGAAUAAUUGAUAAGCUGGACUUCAUUAAUAUAAAACAACAUUUCUAUUCUGUGAAAGACACUGUCAAGAGAAUAGGGGAAGCCACAGAUUUGGAUAAAAUAUUAACAAAGCAUAUCUGAUCAAGGGCCAUUUUCAAAAUAUACAAAUAACAAUAAGAAAACAAAAAACCCAAUUAAAAAUGGGGUGAAAGGUCUGAACAUAUUGCUCAUUAAAGAAGCAUAUGGCAGCUAAGCAUAUGAAAAGGUAUUCAACAUCAUGUGUCAUUUGGGAAUUGCAAAUUAAAACAAUAAGGUACUACUACACACCUGUUAGAAUGGCCAAAAUCCAAAACACUGACAUCACCAAAUGCAACAGGUAUUCUUAUUCAUUGUUGGCGGGAAUGCGUAAUGAUACAGCCACUGUGGAAGACAGUUUGGUGAUUUCUUACAAAACUAAACAUAUUCUUACCAUGUGAUCUAGCAAUCCUGUUCCGUGGUAUUUACCCAAAAGUUGAAAACUCAUGUCCACACAAGUUUUAUAGCAGCUUUACUCAUAAUUGCCAAAACUUGGAAGCAACUAAGAUAUCCUUCAGUAGGUGAAUGGAUAAACUGUGGUUCAGCUAGACCAUGUAAUAUUAUUGAGCACUAAUAAGGAAUGAGCUAUUAAACCCUGAAAAGACAUGGAGGAAUCUUAGAUGCAUAUUACUAAGUGAAAGAAGCCAAUUCGAAAAGGCUACAUACUGUGUGAUUCCAACUAUACAUUUAACAUUCUGGAAAAGAAACCUAUGGAGACAGUAGAAAAAUCAGUGAUUGCCAGGGGUUAGUGGGGAGGGAGGGCUGAAUAGGUGGAACAGAGAACAUUUUUAAGGCAAUGAAACUAUUCUGUUAUGAUACUACAUGGUAGAUAUAUAUCAUUAUACAUUUGCCGAAACCUGUGGAAUGAACAACACCAAGAGUGAACCUUAACAUAGGAGUUUGGGUGAUAAUGGUGUGUCAAAGUAGUUCAUCAGUGUAGCAAAUGUACCAGUAUUGUGGGGAACGUUGAUAGUGGGAGAGGUUGUGUGUGUGCGGUAGGGAGGAGGAGGUACUCUGUAUCUGUGGGAACUCUGUAUUUCUACUCAGUUUUGCUGUGAACCUAAAACUGUUCUAAAAAAUAAAGUGUAUUAAAAAAUAACAGGGCUUCCCUGGUGGCGCAGUGGUUGAGAGUCCACCUGCCGAUGGAGGGGACACAGGUUCGUGCCCCGGUCUGGGAAGAUCCCACAUGCUGCGGAGCGGCUGGGCCCGUGAGCCGUGGCUGCUGAGCCUGCGUGUCCGGAGCCUGUGCUCCGCAACGGGAGAGGCCACAGCAGUGAGAGGCCCGUGUACCGCAAAAAAAAAAAAACAACAAAAAUAAUAGACAGGAAUUACAAGUAGAUGUUUAAGUCUCAUCUACUUUCUAUGAGAAGACAAAAUUGAUACAAGGUGAAAUCAGAGGCCCUCAGUCUCAUUAGAGAAUUUGCUAGUGUGGACUAAAUUAGAAAUAGCCUGAGCAGGUAGGAGAUACAGGUGAUCUUUCCAGAUACAGAUCACAAAAUGGGUAUAGCAGAAAAAUAUAGAAGUAUUGAGGAAUCUCAACCUCCUGGCAGCAUUUGGAAGCAGGCCCUUUGUUAAAUUCUUGACCUACUGUGCUCUCCAUUUCAUUGAAUAGAAGAGAGGAAACAAUGAAUGAUACUGUUAACUUGUACUUAAUUCUAACUCUUAAGAUAAUUCAGCUUAUUUUUAAAUUUUAUUUUAUUUUUAUUUCUGAGAUAUGCAUUUUAAAGUAAUAACUAGAAUUAUGACUUAUACUAUUAUACCAGAACAUGUAAGAUUUUUAGGAAUUUCAUCUAAUGUCUGAAACAUUUAUAUUUAAAUUUAUUUUUAAUUCAGCUCAUUUUGAACUGAAGGGCUUAUUAGGUGAAAAUGACCUGUCAUUUUAGACUUUGUAACAUGCAAGUAAGUGUACACUAGAGAUAGUCAAACAGACUUCAAAAAGUUGAAGCAUAUUUCAUAGAGCUCACAAGAAAUAAAGAUAAGUAUUGAAUGCAUUGAAGGAAGAGUUCAUGAAGCCAUAAAUGUCUGCUACAUUUUGAGGGGAACUUUUUUUGUUUUUUGUUUUACCAGCUUCAGUUGACAUUGCUUGGGUACAUACUCCAUUAGAGAGGUAGAGAUAGCCCUUGCUAUGGCCCCUCUGAAUUGGAACAGGAAACUGAACUGCCACAGAUGGGUUAAACACAGGGGAGCCAGAAGUGGUUGGUACUAAUUCUAUUAAAUACUGAGGCUCGAAAUCUACCCAUCAAAUCCUUUCUCUUGGGAAAGCACACAUACACAUAGCAUACAAAGUAGAUGGACACCUAGUUUGCAGCUGCAAAUCUGAAUUGUGUUGUGCAGUUUUUCCUGUUAUUUUUCAAGACGAACACAUAUCACAGAAUUAGGGGGUCAGAGACUCCUUGGGUGGUGCUACGAUCCCAAAGAAGUAAAUUUUCCUUAUGUUUUUUUGUAGGUAAUGUAUUAUAAGUUAUCCAUUAGUGUAAGUAACCUGAACAUAUCUUUUCCUGAUUGGAACUGUGGAGACUCUGGAAAACCUGACAGGCUGGAGAAGUACAGGCAUACCUCAUUUUAUUGUGCUUCACUUUAUUGCAUUUCACAGAUACUGAAUUUUUAAAAAUUGAAGGUUUGUGGCAACCUUGUGCUGUCAGUUGAUGGUUAGCAUUUUUUAGUGAUAAAGUUAGGUAUGUACUUUUUUAAAGACAUAAUGCUAUUGUACACUUAAUAGACUACAGUGUAGUAUAAACAUAACUUUUAUAUGCACUGGGAAACCAAAAAAAAAAAAAAAAAAACCUCAUGUGACUCACUUUAUUGCCACAUUCACUUUAUUGCAGUGGUCUGGAACCAAACCUGCAAUGUCUCUGAGGUAUGCCUGUACAAGGGAUAGUUUCAUGAUUAAAUGUAACAGGAAGUUAAAAUGGAACUUUUCAUUUUGUCUCAGUUUUGGCUAAAAACUCCAAGGCCAAGCAAUAUAGGUGCCAAAAUUACCCUCACAUUCUAAAGCAAGGUACUAGAGUACCUUAUGUAGGACAUGCUAAGAGACAUCUUCUGUCAGCAUUAGCUCAUCUCCUAUCUCUCAGCUAUAUAAGGGAGGGUAGAGAAUCCAUGGGGAAGGGCAGAAAUGGUUUGGAGGGAGAAUUUCUUUGGAGAGAGUUGUCAGUGUGCUGUAUAUGCCCCUCCUACUUCCUGGUAAGUAUGUUGGGAGCGCUUCCCCCUCAUCUGAAGCCAAGAGAAGAAAAACACUCAAAAAGCUUGAAGUAUUUUCUCUGAAACGUGGAAGAUGCAAGGUCUGUUACCUGAAAUAAAUUUAAGGCUGGUGGCAGAAUGAAGUAGAGCAGAGUUUAGUGGGGACAAGGACACAAGUGUGUUUCCCAUGGACCAAAGGUGGAAACUGCAAAGGGAUACAAUUGUAGAUUAUUUUAAAAGGAGCUUCAUCACAGAAAUCCAUCUGGAGAGGUAAGGUGACCCUUGUGGAAGCAAGGGGUUGAAGGCAGCGUCUUAGUUGUCCAGUUGUAGAAAGAAUCAUCCCUAUAAAGGAGUUGCAGGUAGGAGAUCCCUACUGGGUCAGAGGAUUCUUUGUGAAACCCACAGAAAUUCCCCACUCAAGAAGGAAUUCUGUAUCUAAAAGAUGCUGCACCCAAAGGACACCAAUAUCAGAUUGCAACAGUAUUGGUUGUAUAAA
Orcinus orca (killer whale) is the source of this 5587-nucleotide RNA transcript. RefSeq lists it as uncharacterized. The transcript is spliced from 3 exons. Lineage: Eukaryota; Metazoa; Chordata; Mammalia; Artiodactyla; Delphinidae. The record is from RefSeq and is a predicted model, not a curated record.